GUGCAAGAUGCUAGCAGGCAAGGCAUACAUGGAACGCCAUAACCAAGUGGCCGGCAUAGUGUACAGGAACAUCUGUGCCGAGUAUAACCUAGAAGUCCCGAGGUCAAAAUGGGAGAUGCCCCCAAGGGUGGUGGAGAAUGACCGAGCUAAGAUCCUGUGGGACUUCCAGAUACAGACGGACAAAAUGGUGGUGGCUAACCAACCGGACAUAGUGGUGGUAGACAAACAGAAGAAGACGGCCGUAGUGAUCGAUGUAGCGGUUCCGAAUGACAGCAAUAUCAGGAAGAAGGAACACGAGAAGCUGGAGAAAUACCAAGGGCUCAGAGAAGAGCUCGAGAGGAUGUGGAGGGUGAAGGUAACGGUGGUCCCCGUGGUAAUCGGAGCACUAGGUGCGGUGACUCCCAAGCUAGGCGAGUGGCUCCAGCAGAUCCCGGGAAUAACAUCGGAGAUCUCUGUCCAGAAGAGCGCAGUCCUGGGAACAGCUAAGAUACUGCGCAGGACCCUCAAGCUCCCAGGCCUCUGGUAGAGGACCCGAGCUUGAAGGAUAAACCGCCCGCAGGGGCGUGCUGGGUGUUUUUUUUUUUUUUUAUAUAUAUAUAUAUAUACACAGGGUGGGCCAUUUAUAUGGAUAAACCGUAAUAAAAUGGGAAUGGUUGGUGAUAUUAAAGUCCUGUUUGUGGCACAUUAGUACAUGUGAGGGGGCAAACUCCUCAAGAUGGGUGGUGACCAUGGUGGCCAUUUAGAAGUCAGCCUUCUUGGAUACAACUUUUGUUUUUUCAAUAGGAAGAGGGCCAUGCGACACAUCAAACUUAUUGGUAAUGUCACAAGAAAAACAAUGGUGUGCUUGGUUUCAACGUAACUUUAUUAUUUUAUUAUUUACAAGUUUCUCUUUGUUCACAGCCAUUGACAUGUCGAAGAGGUGAACACGUGAGGAGCGGAUCGAAAUUGUGUUGAUAUCUGGUGAACGCAGUAACCAGGUCAUUGCAACAGAUUUCAAUGCAAGACACCCUACGAGACCACCCAUCUCCCAUGCUACAGUUAGCAAACUGCUUGCUAAGUUUCGUGAAACUGGUUCAGUGUUGGAUUUGCCAAAAUGUGGACGCAAGAAAACUGUCACUAAUGAAGAAACAUCAG
Astatotilapia calliptera (eastern happy) is the source of this 1134-nucleotide long non-coding RNA. NCBI's taxonomy places the organism in Eukaryota, Metazoa, Chordata, Actinopteri, Cichliformes, Cichlidae. The record is from Ensembl.